RNAcentral lists this ribosomal RNA (491 nucleotides) under uncultured bacterium. RNAcentral describes it as "partial 16S ribosomal RNA". It matches the Rfam family "Bacterial small subunit ribosomal RNA", at positions 28 to 506 of the family's 1533-position model. The record is from RNAcentral.
GAUGAACGCUAGCUACAGGCUUAACACAUGCAAGUCGAGGGGCAGCGGUAUCGAAAGCUUGCUUUCGGUAGCCGGCGACCGGCGCACGGGUGAGUAACGCGUAUCGAACCUGCCUCAUACUCGGGAAUAGCCUUGCGAAAGUAAGAUUAAUGCCCGGUGUUUUCAGAGUCCCGCAUGAGGCUUUGAACAAAGAUUUAUCGGUAUGAGAUGGCGAUGCGUCCCAUUAGCUUGUUGGCGGGGUAACGGCCCACCAAGGCAUCGAUGGGUAGGGGUUCUGAGAGGAAGGUCCCCCACAUUGGAACUGAGACACGGUCCAAACUCCUACGGGAGGCAGCAGUGAGGAAUAUUGGUCAAUGGGCGGAAGCCUGAACCAGCCAAGUAGCGUGCAGGAAGACGGCCCUCCGGGUUGUAAACUGCUUUUAGUUGGGAAUAAAACGGGGCGCGUGAGCCCCCUUGCAUGUACCAUCAGAAAAAGGACCGGCUAAUUCCGU